RNAcentral lists this ribosomal RNA (486 nucleotides) under Klebsiella pneumoniae. Its description in RNAcentral is "bacterial SSU rRNA". It matches the Rfam family "Bacterial small subunit ribosomal RNA", at positions 8 to 485 of the family's 1533-position model. Lineage: Bacteria; Pseudomonadati; Pseudomonadota; Gammaproteobacteria; Enterobacterales; Enterobacteriaceae. The record is from RNAcentral.
AGAGUUUGAUCCUGGCUCAGAUUGAACGCUGGCGGCAGGCCUAACACAUGCAAGUCGAGCGGUAGCACAGAGAGCUUGCUCUCGGGUGACGAGCGGCGGACGGGUGAGUAAUGUCUGGGAAACUGCCUGAUGGAGGGGGAUAACUACUGGAAACGGUAGCUAAUACCGCAUAAUGUCGCAAGACCAAAGUGGGGGACCUUCGGGCCUCAUGCCAUCAGAUGUGCCCAGAUGGGAUUAGCUAGUAGGUGGGGUAACGGCUCACCUAGGCGACGAUCCCUAGCUGGUCUGAGAGGAUGACCAGCCACACUGGAACUGAGACACGGUCCAGACUCCUACGGGAGGCAGCAGUGGGGAAUAUUGCACAAUGGGCGCAAGCCUGAUGCAGCCAUGCCGCGUGUGUGAAGAAGGCCUUCGGGUUGUAAAGCACUUUCAGCGGGGAGGAAGGCGUUAAGGUUAAUAACCUUAGCGAUUGACGUUACCCGCAGA